This 495-nucleotide ribosomal RNA is filed under the name Triticum aestivum (bread wheat). RNAcentral describes it as "partial small subunit ribosomal RNA". Lineage: Eukaryota; Viridiplantae; Streptophyta; Magnoliopsida; Poales; Poaceae. The record is from RNAcentral.
AUGCCCCGACCGCUGGCGCGACACCUUCCACCCAAAUCACUGACCCCUCCACCAAAUAAGCGCCGCCCUAAGCCAUGGUGCACGCAGUAUAGCCAGGAUCUCAAGGAGCAGUUGGCAGCGGAGAAGCAAAUCGCGGCCACACGCGCGGAUGAGUUAGCGAUGGCUGCCAUUCGUGCCGACCCCCAGAUCUUGGAGGAGCACCUCGCCAUCGAGGCCACCGUCGAUGCCUCGCGCGCCGACGCUGCGACGCAGUUGGCUGCUUUAAACGACAGUUCGUGGCGUUUUCACGAGGCCACCAUCAGUGCCUUCGACGAAGACUACGAGGUGUUUUCUCAGCGUGCACGUGCUUACAUCAUCUCGAGAGCCAGCAAGUUGGUGUCCGGAGCAACUUGGGCAACUCACCACUACGACGAGGGCACCCACGAUGCGGAGGUUUUGGCCUCUUCCAUGUCCAGGGAGCCAAUCGUCAUCGAUAUCUCCGACAAUGAGGAGUAG